This 74-nucleotide transfer RNA is filed under the name Firmicutes bacterium CAG:552. It matches the Rfam family "tRNA". From Rfam's summary of the family: Transfer RNA (tRNA) molecules are approximately 80 nucleotides in length. Their secondary structure includes four short double-helical elements and three loops (D, anti-codon, and T loops). Further hydrogen bonds mediate the characteristic L-shaped molecular structure. tRNAs have two regions of fundamental functional importance: the anti-codon, which is responsible for specific mRNA codon recognition, and the 3' end, to which the tRNAs corresponding amino acid is attached (by aminoacyl-tRNA synthetases). tRNAs cope with the degeneracy of the genetic code in two manners: having more than one tRNA (with a specific anti-codon) for a particular amino acid; and 'wobble' base-pairing, i.e. permitting non-standard base-pairing at the 3rd anti-codon position. The record is from Rfam by way of RNAcentral. Lineage: Bacteria; Bacillati; Bacillota.
GCGCCAGUAGCUCAGCUGGAUAGAGCAACGCCCUUCUAAGGCGUGGGUCGGGGGUUCGAAUCCCUCCUGGCGCG